Molecule: small nuclear RNA, 105 nt
Organism: Hyaena hyaena (striped hyena)
Lineage: Eukaryota; Metazoa; Chordata; Mammalia; Carnivora; Hyaenidae
Source: RefSeq, a predicted model, not a curated record
GUGCUCACGUCAGCAGCACAUAUACUAAAAUUGGACCAAUACAGAGAAAAUUAGCACAGUCCCUGCACAAGGAUGACACAAAUUUGUGAAGUGCUGCUUGUUUUU